This 253-nucleotide ribosomal RNA is filed under the name uncultured bacterium. RNAcentral describes it as "partial 16S ribosomal RNA". It matches the Rfam family "Bacterial small subunit ribosomal RNA", at positions 524 to 776 of the family's 1533-position model. The record is from RNAcentral.
UACGGAGGGAGCUAGCGUUGUUCGGAAUUACUGGGCGUAAAGCGCGCGUAGGCGGCUUUGUAAGUUAGAGGUGAAAGCCCGGAGCUCAACUCCGGAACUGCCUUUAAAACUGCAUCGCUUGAAUCCAGGAGAGGUGAGUGGAAUUCCGAGUGUAGAGGCGAAAUUCGUAGAUAUUCGGAAGAACACCAGUGGCGAAGGCGGCUCACUGGCCCGAUACUGACGCUGAGGCACGAAAGCGUGGGGAGCAAACAGG